CUCUUGCUUUAUUUUUUUUCUUCUUUUCCUCCUUUAAGCUCCAGCACCUUGGCCAAAAGUUCCUGCUUAGCCCUUUAUGUGCCUACAGAAUCUUCACUUUAGAAUUAAACUCAGUCAGCUGGAGAUACAACUGGCUUCAUAAGAGCUGACCUUGCUCCUGGCAGGUCACAACUCAUGGAUUCAGUUAGAAUCCAUUAAGGUGACAACAUAUGACAAUAGUGCUUCUUAUGCUGACAGCAGGACAUGCAGAACAGGAUUCUGAACACCAACCAAGUCUGUCUAUCAACACUUCAUAGACUUAAUGUGUGUACAUCUAAACUAUUUGUGCCCUUUCAACCGCUCCCAGCCUUCUCGGAGUAAGACAGUGAAGAAACUGGUGCCAGGACUGACAGUGUCCCAAACAAACUCCGGCCUACAUGGCUGAGCCUGGGGAGAACUGGCCUCUUGCAGGCUGGCAGCUGGAAAGGAGCCGUGUCAAGGUAUGAUCUGUGGGUAAGCUGCAAGAGUGGUACCAGUCUACCCACUGCAAGGUGCUACCCCUCUGUUCUGAGCCACAUUUAAAAAAAAAAUCGCUCUCCGAAGUGAGUGCUUCUCAUGCAGGCCAGAGCAGUGGCUUAGCUGCUUGCCUUCUGAGCACCAACUUGAAGGCUGCUGGCAAGGAUUCACGGCUGUACCUUGAAGGCUCUGAGCACUGCCAGAGGGUCGUCGCUAAUCAGCCGGGUGACGAGAGCUGGCCAGACACGAUGAGCCAUGGGAAGCAGAUGGUUUCCAUGAGGAUGCAGGACAGUUACACAGAGCUCCAGCACAUCCAGGACCUGUGCAUGGGGGGCCCAGAAGCAAAGACACAGCAAAUCCCAGGAGAGGAAGGGUGGAAGGUUGAUACAGAGACAAGAUAACAUCCCCAUAAGCCGAG
Dromaius novaehollandiae (emu) is the source of this 913-nucleotide long non-coding RNA. RefSeq lists it as uncharacterized. NCBI's taxonomy places the organism in Eukaryota, Metazoa, Chordata, Aves, Casuariiformes, Dromaiidae. The record is from RefSeq and is a predicted model, not a curated record. The transcript is spliced from 4 exons.